This 448-nucleotide ribosomal RNA is filed under the name uncultured bacterium. Its description in RNAcentral is "bacterial SSU rRNA". It matches the Rfam family "Bacterial small subunit ribosomal RNA", at positions 355 to 825 of the family's 1533-position model. The record is from RNAcentral.
UCGGGAAUUUUGGGCAAUGGGCGAAAGCCUGACCCAGCAACGCCGCGUGAAGGAUGAAGUAUUUCGGUAUGUAAACUUCGAAAGAAUAGGAAGAAUAAAUGACGGUACUAUUUAUAAGGUCCGGCUAACUACGUGCCAGCAGCCGCGGUAAUACGUAGGGACCAAGCGUUGUUCGGAUUUACUGGGCGUAAAGGGCGCGUAGGCGGCAUGACAAGUCACUUGUGAAAUCUCUGGGCUUAACCCAGAACGGCCAAGUGAUACUGUCGCGCUAGAGUGCAGAAGGGGCAAUCGGAAUUCUUGGUGUAGCGGUGAAAUGCGUAGAUAUCAAGAGGAACACCUGAGGUGAAGACGGGUUGCUGGGCUGACACUGACGCUGAGGCGCGAAAGCCAGGGGAGCAAACGGGGAUUAGAUACCCAGGUAGUCCCUGAGCGGGCUGGCAAGGCGCAU